UUCAUCCUGGACACCCAGCCAUGAAAUAACCACUCAGAAAACCAUAUUAUUUGCAAUACUGUUUGACCAAUAGCUUAAGUGUAUUUCUGGCUAAGCUCACAUCUUAACCUAACCCAUCUCUAUUUUUCUGUAUAUCACCACGUGGCUAUGGCUUACCAGCUAGAGUUCUCAGCAUCUGUCACAGGCAGUGGCUGCAUGGCUUCUCCUAACUCUGCCUUCCUCCUCCCAUGCUGUAGGCCAAUCCAGUUUUCUUUAUUCAUUAACCAAUAAAAUCAACACAUAGACAGAAGGACCUCCCACACCACAUCUAUCAUUCAUUGCCUAUCUGCCUGUCAGCCAUCUCUCUUCUAUAUUUAGCAAAUAUGAUAAUUGUUAACCCCUACUGCUCCAACAGCUUGUUUCCCACAAAAGAGCAAGCGCUGUGGAGUUAAUUUCACAUUGGUUACUGCUCACCAUUUAUUUUAUUGCUUACUAUGUUUUCUAAAUAAAGAUUUUGACUCUUCUUUUUCAUUUUUGUUUUUCUGAAGCAAGGGCACACCAUGUAGCCCAGGCUAGCCUUACACUCCUGAUCCGCCUGCCUCUCACUGUGAAUGUAAGCCCAUGGCACCCAGUCUUUAUUUUUUUAAGGAUGUGUAAAUGUGUAUAAAAUUUUGAACUUUCAUGAAGCGCGUGAACCGAGUAACUGCACCCUAGUCGAGGGACAAUCUCACUGCAGUCACAGUGCUGACCCGUGUCCCGUCUCACAGUGCUGACCCGUGUCCCCGUCUCACAGUGCUGACCUGUGUCCCCGUCUCACAGUGCUGACCUGUGUCCCGUCUCACUGCAGUCACAGCGCUGACCUGUGUCUCCGUCUCACAGUGCUGAACUGUUGUCUCCAUCUCUGAAGGCUAAUGCAGGAGAAUCAAGAGCUCAAAAGUAUCUUUGGUAAUAAACCUAUGCCACAAGCUUUCAAUGGAUGGUGAGGGGUCUCCUGCUGCCGUCUGCCUUUUUGAUGCUAUCUGCAGCAAUGCCGUCAACCAAGCCAUGAAUGUUGAGAUCUACGGUGCCUUUUCAUCCAUCCUCAAACAUUGCCGUAUCAAGAUGUGAUGUCCUUAACCUCAGCUAGACCUUCUCUCCGACGAAGACGGUGCACAGCUACUUGCCUGAAUGGGACAGGCUUCUGGCUCCUUGCUCGGGUACCAGCAAGUACCUCUUCUCACUUCUGAGACUCUAGGUACUGCUGGGGCUAUUCCCUGAAACAGACAGGAACGAGGCCUUCUGAGCUCCUUGUUGUUCAGGGGCACCUGUAGUUUGUGGUCUCCGGGGAGAGUUUAGGAGUCUGCUCUGGUCCCCUGGAAGAGAUAAGGCUGGAGCAGGGAAAUAGAUGCACAGGCAGAAUGACAAACAUAUUCAGGGUGUUAGCUUUUUUUUUUUUUAAUUAUUAUUCUUUAAUUUAGUGUAGUAUACACUCUUGACCACUGAGCCAGUUCUCCAGCCUAAGAAUAUUUAUAGUCAGGAUGAGUCUUGGUUGAUUCAGCUACUUAGGAAGCUGAGGUAGAAGGAUCACAAAUUCAAGGCCAAACUUGGCUAGCCACGCAGAGUGGUACACACUUAAACCCAGAACUAAGGAGGAUGAUGUAAGCGUUGUGGCAUCUGUGGUCAUAAAUCAAGUUCCUGGCCAGCCUGGGCUACAUGGGACCCUGUCUGGUUUGUUGUUGCUUAUUUUGUAUUUUGUGUUUUGUCUUUGUACUGGGGAUGGAACCCAGGGCCUUGUACACACUAGGCAAGUUCUUUACCAUGAGCUAUAUCCCUAGUCUGAGACCCUGUCUCAAAACAGAAAUCAAACAACCAAAAUGGCUAGCUUGCAGGAUGCUGAGAUUGCUCAGUAGGUGAGGGUGUUUGUUGCCAAGUUUGGCUUCCUGAGUUCGAUCCCUGGGACCCACAUGAUAGAUAGAAGGAGAGAAUCAACUUUUGAAAGUUGUCUUCUGACCUUUGUGUGUGAGCCAUGGUAUGUGUGUAUCCCUUUUCCACAUUAAUAAAUGCAAUAAA
Molecule: non-coding RNA, 2028 nt
Organism: Myodes glareolus (Bank vole)
Lineage: Eukaryota; Metazoa; Chordata; Mammalia; Rodentia; Cricetidae
Source: RefSeq, a predicted model, not a curated record